AGGAGAAGCCCGGAGAUGGGUACUGAGACACGGACCCAGGCCCUAUGGGGCGCAGCAGGCGAGAAAACUUUGCAAUGUGCGAAAGCACGACAAGGUUAAUCCGAGUGGUUUCUGCUAAAGAAACCUUUUGUCAGUCCUAGAAACACUAACGAAUAAGGGGUGGGCAAGUUCUGGUGUCAGCCGCCGCGG
RNAcentral lists this ribosomal RNA (189 nucleotides) under uncultured archaeon. RNAcentral's name for it is "partial 16S ribosomal RNA". It matches the Rfam family "Archaeal small subunit ribosomal RNA", at positions 281 to 470 of the family's 1478-position model. The record is from RNAcentral.